AUCGCUUCUCGGCCUUUUGGCUAAGAUCAAGUGUAGUAUCUGUUCUUAUCAGUUUAAUAUCUGAUACGUCCUCUAUCUGAGGAUAAUAUAUUAAAUGGAUUUUUGGAGUAGGGAGAUGGAAUAGGGGCUUGCUCCGUCCACUCCGCGCAUCGACCUGGUAUUGUAGUGCUUCCGGGAAUGGUGCACCCCUU
Molecule: small nuclear RNA, 191 nt
Filed under: Castor canadensis (American beaver)
Lineage: Eukaryota; Metazoa; Chordata; Mammalia; Rodentia; Castoridae
Description: U2 spliceosomal RNA (ENSCCNG00000015951.1)
Rfam family: U2 spliceosomal RNA
About the family: U2 is a small nuclear RNA (snRNA) component of the spliceosome (involved in pre-mRNA splicing). Complementary binding between U2 snRNA (in an area lying towards the 5' end but 3' to hairpin I) and the branchpoint sequence (BPS) of the intron results the bulging out of an unpaired adenosine, on the BPS, which initiates a nucleophilic attack at the intronic 5' splice site, thus starting the first of two transesterification reactions that mediate splicing.
Source: Rfam by way of RNAcentral